This 450-nucleotide ribosomal RNA is filed under the name uncultured Glomeromycotina. RNAcentral's name for it is "SSU rRNA". It matches the Rfam family "Eukaryotic small subunit ribosomal RNA", at positions 569 to 1023 of the family's 1831-position model. Lineage: Eukaryota; Fungi; Glomeromycota. The record is from RNAcentral.
AGCAGCCGCGGUAAUUCCAGCUCCAAUAGCGUAUAUUAAAGUUGUUGCAGUUAAAAAGCUCGUAGUUGAAUUUCGGGGUCAGUAGGUUGGUCGUGCCACUGGUAUGUACUGGCCUCACUGAUUCCUCCUUCUUGUAGAACCGUAAUGCCAUUAAUUUGGUGUUGCGGGGAAACAGGACUGUUACUUUGAAAAAAUUAGAGUGUUUAAAGCAGGCUAACGCUUGAAUACAUUAGCAUGGAAUAAUGAAAUAGGACGUUCGAUCCUAUUUUGUUGGUUUCUAGGAUUGACGUAAUGAUUAAUAGGGAUAGUUGGGGGCAUUAGUAUUCAAUUGUCAGAGGUGAAAUUCUUGGAUUUAUUGAAGACUAACUACUGCGAAAGCAUUUGCCAAGGAUGUUUUCAUUAAUCAAGAACGAAAGUUAGGGGAUCGAAGACGAUCAGAUACCGUCGUAG